GACGAACGCUGGCGGCGUGCCUAAUACAUGCAAGUCGAACGCACAGUUUAUACCGUAGCUUGCUACACCAUAGACUGUGAGUUGCGAACGGGUGAGUAACGCGUAGGUAACCUGCCUGGUAGCGGGGGAUAACUAUUGGAAACGAUAGCUAAUACCGCAUAAUAUUGAUUAUUGCAUGAUAAUUGAUUGAAAGAUGCUAUUGCAUCACUACCAGAUGGACCUGCGUUGUAUUAGCUAGUAGGUGAGGUAACGGCUCACCUAGGCGACGAUACAUAGCCGACCUGAGAGGGUGAUCGGCCACACUGGGACUGAGACACGGCCCAGACUCCUACGGGAGGCAGCAGUAGGGAAUCUUCGGCAAUGGACGAAAGUCUGACCGAGCAACGCCGCGUGAGUGAAGAAGGUUUUCGGAUCGUAAAGCUCUGUUGUAAGAGAAGAACGGGUGUGAGAGUGGAAAGUUCACACUGUGACGGUAGCUUACCAGAAAGGGACGGCUAACUACGUG
Molecule: ribosomal RNA, 505 nt
Filed under: uncultured bacterium
Lineage: Bacteria
Description: partial 16S ribosomal RNA
Rfam family: Bacterial small subunit ribosomal RNA
Source: RNAcentral